RNAcentral lists this ribosomal RNA (495 nucleotides) under uncultured bacterium. RNAcentral describes it as "partial 16S ribosomal RNA". It matches the Rfam family "Bacterial small subunit ribosomal RNA", at positions 28 to 507 of the family's 1533-position model. The record is from RNAcentral.
GACGAACGCUGGCGGCGUGCCUAAUACAUGCAAGUAGAACGCUGAAGGAGGAGCUUGCUUCUCUGGAUGAGUUGCGAACGGGUGAGUAACGCGUAGGUAACCUGCCUGGUAGCGGGGGAUAACUAUUGGAAACGAUAGCUAAUACCGCAUAAUAGUAGAUGUUGCAUGACAUUUGCUUAAAAGGUGCAAUUGCAUCACUACCAGAUGGACCUGCGUUGUAUUAGCUAGUUGGUGAGGUAACGGCUCACCAAGGCGACGAUACAUAGCCGACCUGAGAGGGUGAUCGGCCACACUGGGACUGAGACACGGCCCAGACUCCUACGGGAGGCAGCAGUAGGGAAACUUCGGCAAUGGACGGAAGUCUGACCGAGCAACGCCGCGUGAGUGAAGAAGGGUUUCGGAUCGUAAAGCUCUGUUGUAAGAGAAGAACGAGUGUGAGAGUGGAAAGUUCACACUGUGACGGUAUCUUACCAGAAAGGGACGGCUAACUACGUG